AGAGGAAGACCUGGUGGGUUUAUAUAAUGUUUGAGAUACCACUUCAGUUUAAAUUGAAGAGGUAAGUUGCCUUUCAAUAACCUCUUUAGUUCAAAUUCAAAAGGUAAGUUGAUCAGACUUGUGCUUUUGAAUUCAACCGUUCAAAAACUGAAUUCUAUUCCACCACCGUUUGGAAAUCUCAUUGAGGAAGAUCCAAGUGAGGUGAAAAUCCCCUUGAGAUGGAUCCGAGUGAGGAAGACAAUCUUAGAGAGGUAAUAUCUCCUUGAGAUGGAUCCGAGUGAGGAAG
RNAcentral lists this long non-coding RNA (286 nucleotides) under Rosa chinensis. RNAcentral describes it as "sRNA RchiOBHm_Chr7g0197121". The record is from RNAcentral. Lineage: Eukaryota; Viridiplantae; Streptophyta; Magnoliopsida; Rosales; Rosaceae.